GGCUUUUCGAAUCCGUGCUGAGAUUUCGUAAGACACCAACUCAUUAGGGCUGAUCAUAAUUCCAAGAUAAGUGAAGUU
Non-coding RNA from Schistosoma haematobium, 78 nucleotides. The record is from Rfam. Lineage: Eukaryota; Metazoa; Platyhelminthes; Trematoda; Strigeidida; Schistosomatidae.